Molecule: ribosomal RNA, 271 nt
Filed under: uncultured bacterium
Lineage: Bacteria
Description: partial 16S ribosomal RNA
Rfam family: Bacterial small subunit ribosomal RNA
Source: RNAcentral
UUGGGUUAGUGGCGGACGGGUGAGUAACGCGUGGGUAACCUGCCUUACACAGGGGGAUAACCACUUAGAAAGUAGGUGCUAAAACCGCAUAAGCGCACAGCUUCGGCAUGAAGCGGUGUGAAAAACUCCGGUGGUGUAAGAUGGACCCGCGUCUGAUUAGCUUGUUGGCGGGGUAACGGCCCACCAAGGCGACGAUCAGUAGCCGGCCUGAGAGGGCGGACCGGCCACAUUGGGACUGAGACACGGCCCAGACUCCUACGGGAGGCAGCAG